GUUGUCCGUUCUUUGUAUUUGUGGCUUCCAUGAUGGCAGCGUUCGUCCGUGCGUAUUGCCGCAGUUUGAUGUACAAGUGAGAGACAUGGACGGCACUAUAGUUUCAGGGUUCGUUAUGAAGACGUUUGACAAGUUGCUAAGUUGAGAAGUUGUUUGAGAACUCGCUACCAAUGGCCGAGUCCAGAACAACACUGGGAUCAGUCAAUGAAGGAUUUGCCAAGUUACAGCAGCCUCCUAUCCAUCACAAGCUUUUGGGCUGAACGCAGACAUGGUAAGCUGUAGUACUCUUUCUCUAAUUUCAGGUAAACCAGGGCCAGUGCAUUCAUUGCGUGGGAAUCAGCUUGUACACAUGGAUAGCGUAAGCUAGCUUCCAGUACGACAAAAAGGAUGCUGUGCCAGGGGUAACUGACUGUCUUCUGUCCUAUGCACUUUAAGAUUGCUCUCAGCAGAGUAUUACUCACUUCCAUCUUCUCAGUUCAGAGGAACAAGUCAGCGUCAUUUGCAAGGUAACCACAACAGUUCUUUCACAGCGGCCUGUCCUGCAGCAUCCCAAUGAACAACUACUGUACGACCCGUAUGGGAAUUUUUUUCAUGAGCAGAUCAACAAUGCCAAGGUUACCUCACGAAGAUCCGGGUGCCUCAAGCGUCGCUACCUUCUUGGGGGAAAAAUGAAAUAGACAACUAUGUGACAACAUAGACAACAUCUUUCAUCUAGACAACUAUGUCGUGACUGUACCACGCACCGCGAACUCAGGAACGUCACAAAUCAGGAGCAGCAGAUGGAAGCAACAAAGAGGACAUUUAAACUGUGUGUACUCAGAUACAUAGCUUUGUUUCGGUUAGUUAGUUGAAAACUGCACCGCUCGCAUAUGAGACAAGCAUAUGUUGCCUUGCGCGUUAGGAAAAUCUAUUAAAAUUGCCUUUGUAGUAAGCUGUGUAUUUUGAUAGGGACACGCUAUAUCAGACAGCAGCUCAUGGUGUAAAAAUCUGAUGCCAACACGGCAAAUUCUGAACUGUAAUUUUGAAAAUUUAAUUUCUCAGCAUGAGAAAAUUAUUAAAUUGCUUGUAAUUUGUGACAAAAGUUUUAGAUAAAACUUAACAUUUCAAGCGAAAAUGUGCUGUGGAUAUGCAAGCUAUCGUUCCUAUCUUUUUUUAGUGUGGAAGCUGACAGGACUUGUGCGUACAAAAAUUCUCUAUGGAUCUUUGUGGCAAUCUCAGAAACGGCACUAUAUUAAUUUGCUUGUAUCUGUAUGUCGAUAUAUGCAUAGUUUGCUACAAGUGCUCUUAUUUGGGCAUACCAGUGCCACACCUUACCUUUUUGGCUUCAACUUCUGAAUUCAAUUCGACUUGCCUUUUAAUAUAACCGGUGUCCCGUCUCUGUCUAGUGAUUCACUGUGCCGUAAUGAGGCUGACUGGGGAACGAAUCACUCGCUGUGACAAGCCAAACUGUUCUCUUUAUGCAGAUGUGAUGUCAUGCUUACGGUGUUGCACAUGUCAUUUUCGUCUGUGCAAUGUUCCAAGUAAAUGUGAUUUGUAGGAUUUUGGAUUGCUAUAGGAACUGUGCAGUGUGAUAUUUUGUUCCUUUGAAGCUGAAAUAUAUUUGAAACCAAUAAACUGACAGUUUUUCCCUUC
Long non-coding RNA from Ornithodoros turicata, 1632 nucleotides. RefSeq lists it as uncharacterized. The record is from RefSeq and is a predicted model, not a curated record. The transcript is spliced from 5 exons. Lineage: Eukaryota; Metazoa; Arthropoda; Arachnida; Ixodida; Argasidae.